Molecule: ribosomal RNA, 1947 nt
Filed under: metagenome
Description: bacterial LSU rRNA
Rfam family: Bacterial large subunit ribosomal RNA
Source: RNAcentral
UUAAGCGACUAAGCGUACACGGUGGAUGCCCUGGCAGUCAGAGGCGAUGAAGGACGUGCUAAUCUGCGAAAAGCGUCGGUAAGGUGAUAUGAACCGUUAUAACCGGCGAUGUCCGAAUGGGGAAACCCAGUGCAAUUCGUUGCACUAUCGUUAACUGAAUACAUAGGUUAACGAGGCGAACCGGGGGAACUGAAACAUCUAAGUACCCCGAGGAAAAGAAAUCAACCGAGAUUCCCCCAGUAGCGGCGAGCGAACGGGGAGCAGCCCAGAGUCUGAAUCAGCUUGUGUGUUAGUGGAACGGUCUGGAAAGUCCGACGGUACAGGGUGAUAGUCCCGUACACCAAAAUGCACAGGUUGUGAACUCGAAGAGUAGGGCGGGACACGUGGUAUCCUGUCUGAAUAUGGGGGGACCAUCCUCCAAGGCUAAAUACUCCUGACUGACCGAUAGUGAACCAGUACCGUGAGGGAAAGGCGAAAAGAACCCCGGCGAGGGGAGUGAAAAAGAACCUGAAACCGUGUACGUACAAGCAGUGGGAGCACCUUCGGGUGUGACUGCGUACCUUUUGUAUAAUGGGUCAGCGACUUAUAUUCUGUAGCAAGGUUAACCGUAUAGGGGAGCCGCAGGGAAACCGAGUCUUAACUGGGCGUUAAGUUGCAGGGUAUAGACCCGAAACCCGGUGAUCUAGCCAUGGGCAGGUUGAAGGUUGGGUAACACUAACUGGAGGACCGAACCGACUAAUGUUGAAAAAUUAGCGGAUGACUUGUGGCUGGGGGUGAAAGGCCAAUCAAACCGGGAGAUAGCUGGUUCUCCCCGAAAGCUAUUUAGGUAGCGCCUCGUGAACUCAUCUUCGGGGGUAGAGCACUGUUUCGGCUAGGGGGUCAUCCCGACUUACCAACCCGAUGCAAACUACGAAUACCGAAGAAUGUUAUCACGGGAGACACACGGCGGGUGCUAACGUCCGUCGUGAAGAGGGAAACAACCCAGACCGCCAGCUAAGGUCCCAAAGUCAUGGUUAAGUGGGAAACGAUGUGGGAAGGCACAGACAGCCAGGAUGUUGGCUUAGAAGCAGCCAUCAUUUAAAGAAAGCGUAAUAGCUCACUGGUCGAGUCGGCCUGCGCGGAAGAUGUAACGGGGCUAAACCAUGCACCGAAGCUGCGGCAGCGACACUAUGUGUUGUUGGGUAGGGGAGCGUUCUGUAAGCCUGCGAAGGUGACCUGUGAGGGUUGCUGGAGGUAUCAGAAGUGCGAAUGCUGACAUAAGUAACGAUAAAGCGGGUGAAAAGCCCGCUCGCCGGAAGACCAAGGGUUCCUGUCCAACGUUAAUCGGGGCAGGGUGAGUCGACCCCUAAGGCGAGGCCGAAAGGCGUAGUCGAUGGGAAACAGGUUAAUAUUCCUGUACUUGGUGUUACUGCGAAGGGGGGACGGAGAAGGCUAUGUUAGCCGGGCGACGGUUGUCCCGGUUUAAGCAUGUAGGCUGGUUGUCCAGGCAAAUCCGGAUAAUCAAGGCUGAGGUGUGAUGACGAGGCACUACGGUGCUGAAGUAACAAAUGCCCUGCUUCCAGGAAAAGCCUCUAAGCAUCAGGUAACAUCAAAUCGUACCCCAAACCGACACAGGUGGUCAGGUAGAGAAUACCAAGGCGCUUGAGAGAACUCGGGUGAAGGAACUAGGCAAAAUGGUGCCGUAACUUCGGGAGAAGGCACGCUGGUGUGUAGGUGAAGUCCCUGCGGAUGGAGCUGAGACCAGUCGAAGAUACCAGCUGGCUGCAACUGUUUAUUAAAAACACAGCACUGUGCAAACACGAAAGUGGACGUAUACGGUGUGACGCCUGCCCGGUGCCGGAAGGUUAAUUGAUGGGGUUAUCCGUAAGGAGAAGCUCUUGAUCGAAGCCCCGGUAAACGGCGGCCGUAACUAUAACGGUCCUAAGGUAGCGAAAUUCCUUGUCGGGU